UUGCAGCUAUGUCGUGUGCGCCAGGUUUACCGGCGUUACCUCCGGUUCCAGGAAGUCGGUGCAGCAGCAGCAGCAGACGACUCACGCCGGCGAUGAGCCGAUCGGGGCCGUUCAUCGGAGGGAGAGUUGGCGGUGAGAUGUGGACAUAUGCCGGGUUGGUGAACCGCAGCGGAUUUGAUUCAACGGAUGCCAGUGAUUGACACACAAGCUAGCGAACCGUGGGGCGGUCCUGCUGCCUCUUCAUCGGAUGUUUUUCUUUGCCACUGUGCGACCUGACCCAUGGGGCCUUGGGAGCAGCCGUAUACACAGUGUUGCCACUAUAAGAAUAUACUCCGACAAAGCUUCUUGGUCAGACAUCGCAGACUCCGUUUAGAUGCUGCGAUCCCUUUGCAAAGGUGGACGUGUUCAUCUGUCCACGACUUGCACAUCAGGUCAGGAGCCUUCAUGAAUUUUCAUUCGCACCUAAGAGAAAAACAACAAUG
Long non-coding RNA from Scophthalmus maximus (turbot), 482 nucleotides. RefSeq lists it as uncharacterized. The record is from RefSeq and is a predicted model, not a curated record. Lineage: Eukaryota; Metazoa; Chordata; Actinopteri; Pleuronectiformes; Scophthalmidae. The transcript is spliced from 4 exons.